RNAcentral lists this long non-coding RNA (2053 nucleotides) under Homo sapiens (human). Its description in RNAcentral is "HSALNT0397162". Lineage: Eukaryota; Metazoa; Chordata; Mammalia; Primates; Hominidae. The record is from RNAcentral.
AGCCUUCAGUGCUGGCCUCCAGUCACUCGUGGGUGAAACCCCUCAAACUGAGGCCCAGUUUGAGAUCAGCCCUGUUCUGAGGCUGCAGACUCAAGUGUCUACAGAAGCCAAGGGACAGCAUGAGUGAAGCGGGUCCCUACAGUUACCACAGCAGCGGGGGUGAGGUCUGUUCCCAUAGUAAAGGCCUCAGGGGGAUGCCCUUGAUCUACUCGUGGAAUUUCAAGUCUUUCAACAUUUGGGGAUAGAAUUGAUUUGGAGGCAAGGGACUCUUCCAGUUAACAUGAGGAGAAUAACAUUUUAUUUGCCAGAUUUUCUUAGAAGAAGAAAGCACACUUUUUUAGAAAAACAAAACGUUAGAAGAAACAAGCAUGCUUUGACACAUGCUUGUUAGGAGAAGAACUGUCCCACCUGUCUGAGAACUACCUUCUAACUAAUUGCAUUGGUAGCCAACAGUUACAAAUUGGGCAUUUCAUUUAAAAGCCUGAAUUCCUUCUUUCUUUUUGUGCAGUACAUCUUCUUAGCCCAGAUUAGCUAAUGGGCAGAUGAGAGCAAGGCCCCAUGAGGCUGGGACAUGGGGUAGGUACUGGGGUGCCGUGAGGGUGGCUGAGAAUAAAAAUGCAUCAGCAACUUCACUGUUCUGUUAAGGACAUGCAUGUCCUUCACACAGAAUGUUUAAUUUCUCCACGAGAUGGCCGUGGCUUAGAAUAGUCUAUCAGAGGCAGCAAUCAAUUUAGAGACACCUGGGCCCUCACCAGCAAUUCUGGCUCCUCAGGUGAGCCUGGGGAUGUCUUUCUCAUGGGACAAGACACAUUUCUCUCCGGCAGGCCAAAGCCUGCCAGAUAGCCGUGUUCAUAUCCAGAGCUGGCUCCCAAUCCCAAAGACAGCGCUCCACUUUAACUCCAGAGGCACUGGCAGUGUGUCGACAUCCUUGCCCAAAAGAUCGGAAUAGUCUCAGUUAUUUUGGGCAGGCUGUGUUAAACAGGAGGUUCUGAUCUAAUAGUUGGUCUGUGUAAAUUGUCUUAGGAGUAAUUUCAUUUGCGUAACAUUUGCAUUCACAUUUAAAUUCUCAACUAUCUGAAGAAGAAAUAGUCAUUAGACACAGACUGGGCUUGCCUUACUGUCCCUGUGACUACCACUUCCCCCAUGUACACCCCUGGGCUGAGCAAUAUAAGGUCAAGGGUGGUGAAUGGGAUUUUCCUGAAGAAAAAUGGGUUGUCAGUAUGUUCCUUCCCACACCUAACUGCCCAGUAACAGGAGGGCGGCGCUGAGCUCCCGGAGGCCUGUCCUUGGAAAUCUCCACCAAAUCACUAAGACUCCAGCGAAGAGCCAGGGAAGAGGCGUAUUUUCUCUCCUCUUCCCCCACUGGGGUGUGUAGGGAGGAGGAGGUGCGGUCAUGCCUCCCAAAGCUGCACAGGCAUCAAUCAGGACUGAAACAGUCCAGGCAGGCGGUGCGUCCUGGUCAGUUCAGGGCUGAAACAGUCCAGGCAGUUCAGGACUGAAACAGUUCAGGCAGGCGGGGCCUCCUGGUCAGUUCAGGGCUGAAACGGGCCGAGUAGGCGGGGCAUCCUGGUCAGUUCAGGGUUGAAAUAUGCGGGGCAGGCGGGGCAUCCUCGUCAGUUCAGGGCUGAAACGGGCCGCCCGCGUAGGUGGGUCAUCCUGGUCAGUUCAGGGCUGAAAUGGGCCGCGUAGGCGGGGCAUCCUCGUCAGUUCAGGGCUGAAACGGCCGCGUAGGCGGGUCAUCCUGGUCAGUUCAGGGCUGAAACGGGCCACGUAGGCGGGGCAUCCUGGUCAGUUCCGGGCUGAAACGGGCCGCGUAGGCGGGGCAUCCUGGUCAGUUCCGGGCUGAAACGGGCGCGUAGGCGGGGCAUCCUGGUCAGUUCAGGGCUGAAAUGGGCCAGGUAGGCAGGGUAUCCUGGUCAGUUCGGGCUGCUACAGCAAAGUGCCAUACCCUGAGUGGCUCUAACAAGCAACCAUUAUUUCUCGCAGCUCUGGAGGCUACAAGUCCAAGGAGACCUUCCCAGACACAAGCUGGACUCUACUCCCUCAGUGACCC